RNAcentral lists this ribosomal RNA (1017 nucleotides) under Rosellinia necatrix. RNAcentral's name for it is "partial large subunit ribosomal RNA". It matches the Rfam family "Eukaryotic large subunit ribosomal RNA", at positions 47 to 1094 of the family's 3401-position model. Lineage: Eukaryota; Fungi; Ascomycota; Sordariomycetes; Xylariales; Xylariaceae. The record is from RNAcentral.
UCAUGGGGGGAGAGACCAACAGGGAUUGCCUCAGUAACGGCGAGUGAAGCGGCAACAGCUCAAAUUUGAAAUCUGGCCCUCGGGUCCGAGUUGUAAUUUGUAGAGGAUGCUUUUGGCGCGGUGCCUUCCGAGUUCCCUGGAACGGGACGCCUUAGAGGGUGAGAGCCCCGUACGGUUGGACACCAAGCCUCUGUAAAGCUCCUUCGACGAGUCGAGUAGUUUGGGAAUGCUGCUCUAAAUGGGAGGUAAAUUUCUUCUAAAGCUAAAUAUUGGCCAGAGACCGAUAGCGCACAAGUAGAGUGAUCGAAAGAUGAAAAGCACUUUGAAAAGAGGGUUAAAUAGCACGUGAAAUUGUUGAAAGGGAAGCGUUUGCGACCAGACCUUUUCCUGGCGGAUCAUCCGGUGUUCUCACCGGUGCACUUCGCCAGGUCGAGGCCAGCAUCGGUUUCCGCGGGGGGAUAAAAGCUCUGGGAACGUAGCUCCUCCGGGAGUGUUAUAGCCCUCUGCACAAUACCCCCGCGGGGACCGAGGACCGCGCUCUAAGCAAGGAUGCUGGCGUAAUGGUUGUCAACGACCCGUCUUGAAACACGGACCAAGGAGUCGAACAUUUGUGCGAGUGUUUGGGUGUCAAACCCUCACGCGUAAUGAAGGUGAACGUAGGUGAGAGCCCUUACGGGUGCAUCAUCGACCGAUCCUGAUGUCUUCGGAUGGAUUUGAGUAAGAGCAUAACUGUUCGGACCCGAAAGAUGGUGAACUAUGCGUGGAUAGGGUGAAGCCAGAGGAAACUCUGGUGGAGGCUCGCAGCGGUUCUGACGUGCAAAUCGAUCGUCAAAUCUGCGCAUGGGGGCGAAAGACUUAUCGAACCAUCUAGUAGCUGGUUACCGCCGAAGUUUCCCUCAGAUAGCAGUGUUGUUCUUCAGUUUUAUGAGGUAAAGCGAAUGAUUAGGGACUCGGGGGCGCUUUUUUGCCUUCAUCCAUUCUCAAACUUUAAAUAUGUAAGAAGCCCUUGUUACUUAA